Molecule: ribosomal RNA, 464 nt
Filed under: uncultured Fusibacter sp.
Lineage: Bacteria; Bacillati; Bacillota; Clostridia; Eubacteriales; Fusibacteraceae
Description: bacterial SSU rRNA
Rfam family: Bacterial small subunit ribosomal RNA
Source: RNAcentral
ACAAGCAGCGGAGCAUUGUGGUUUUAAUUCGAAGCAACGCGAAGAACCUUACCAGAUCUUGACAUCCAAUUGACCAUCUUUUAAUUCGAGAUUUUGCCUUCGGGUACAAUUGAGACAGGUGGUGCAUGGUUGUCGUCAGCUCGUGUCGUGAGAUGUUGGGUUAAGUCCCGCAACGAGCGCAACCCUUGUGUUUUAGUUGCAAACAGGUCAAGCUGUGCACUCUAGACAGACUGCCGUGGACAACACGGAGGAAGGUGGGGAUGACGUCAAAUCAUCAUGCCCCUUAUGAUCUGGGCUACACACGUGCUACAAUGGCCGGUACAACGGGCAGCGAAGGAGCGAUCCGGAGCGAAUCCUAAAAAGCCGGUCCCAGUUCGGAUUGCAGGCUGAAACUCGCCUACAUGAAGUUGGAGUUGCUAGUAAUCGCGAAUCAGAAUGUCGCGGUGAAUGCGUUCCCGGGUCUU